AGUGGAUGGGGAGCAACCUAUGUUGUGCGUGUGUAAAGGUAGUGCCAAGAAAAGCGAUGAUCAUGUUGAAAAUCAAUUCCCGGUACCCGAAACCGACACAGGUGGCAAGUAGAGAAUACUAAGGGGCGCGAGGUAACUCUCUCCAAGGAACUCGGCAAAAUGACCCCGUAACUUAGGGAGAAGGGGUGCCACCGAGAGGUGGUCGCAGUGAAGAGGCCCAGGCGACUGUUUAGCAAAAACAUAGGUCUCUGCAAACUCGAAAGAGGAGGUAUAGGGGCUGACGCCUGCCCAGUGCCGGAAGGUUAAAGAAGUUGGUCAGUUUUAGGAUGAAGCUAGCGACUGAAGCCCCGGUGAACGGCGGCCGUAACUACAACGGUCCUAAGGUAGCGAAAUUCCUUGUCGGGUAAGUUCCGACCCGCACGAAAGGCGUAACGAUCUGGGCGCUGUCUCGGAGAGAGGCUCGGCGAAAUAGGAUUGUCUGUGAAGAUACGGACUACCUGCAUUUGGACAGAAAGACCCUAUGAAGCUUUACUAUAGCUUGGAAUUGUGUUCGGGCUUCCUGUGCGCAGGAUAGGUGGGAGGCGUAGAAGGUAUUCUUGUGGGGAUACUGGAGCCAACGGUGAGAUACCACUCUCAGGAGGCUAGAAUUCUAACUUAAUUAAGGACAGUUUCAGGUGGGUAGUUUGACUGGGGCGGUCGCCUCCAAAAAGGUAACGGAGGCGUACAAAGGUUCCCUCAGACUGGUUGGAAAUCAGUCGAAGAGUGCAAAGGCAGAAGGGAGCUUGACUGCGAGAAGUACAGUUCGAGCAGGGUGGAAACACGGUCUUAGUGAUCCGACGGUGCUGUGUGGAAGGGCCGUCGCUCAACGGAUAAAAGUUACUCUAGGAUAACAGGCUGAUCUCCCCCAAGAGUUCACAUCGACGGGGAGGUUUGGCACCUCGAUGUCGGCUCAUCGCAACCUGGGGCGGAAGUACGUCCCAAGGGUUGGGCUGUUCGCCCAUUAAAGCGGUACGUGAGCUGGGUUCAGAACGUCGUGAGACAGUUCGGUCCAUAUCCGAUGUAGGCGUGAGAAUAUUGAGAGGAGCCUUCCUUAGUACGAGAGGACCGGGAAGGACGCACCGCUGGUGUACCUGUUAUGAUGCCAAUUGUAAACGCAGGGUAGCCAAGUGCGGAGAGGAUAACCGCUGAAAGCAUCUAAGUGGGAAGCCCACCUCAAGAUGAGUAUUCUGGUGUAAGGUCACGGGAAGACGACCCGUAAAUAGGCACGAGGUGGAAGUGCAGAGAUGUAUGAAGCCGAAAUGUACUAAUAGACCGUCGGCUUGACC
Molecule: ribosomal RNA, 1325 nt
Filed under: metagenome
Description: bacterial LSU rRNA
Rfam family: Bacterial large subunit ribosomal RNA
Source: RNAcentral